RNAcentral lists this ribosomal RNA (397 nucleotides) under uncultured bacterium. RNAcentral's name for it is "partial 16S ribosomal RNA". It matches the Rfam family "Bacterial small subunit ribosomal RNA", at positions 523 to 918 of the family's 1533-position model. The record is from RNAcentral.
AUACGUAGGGGGCGAGCGUUGUCCGGAAUGAUUGGGCGUAAAGGGCGCGUAGGCGGCCCGGUAAGUCUGGAGUGAAAGUCCUGUUUUUAAGAUGGGAAUUGCUUUGGAUACUGUCGGGCUUGAGUGCAGGGGAGGUAAGUGGAAUUCCCAGUGUAGCGGUGAAAUGCGUAGAGAUUGGGAGGAACACCAGUGGCGAAGGCGACUUACUGGACUGUAACUGACGCUGAGGCGCGAAAGUGUGGGGAGCAAACAGGAUUAGAUACCCUGGUAGUCCACACUGUAAACGAUGAAUGCUAGGUGUAGGGGGUAUCGACCCCUUCUGUGCCGCAGUCAACACAAUAAGCAUUCCGCCUGGGGAGUACGGCCGCAAGGUUGAAACUCAAAGGAAUUGACGGGG